RNAcentral lists this ribosomal RNA (481 nucleotides) under Arthrobacter sp. hata62. Its description in RNAcentral is "bacterial SSU rRNA". It matches the Rfam family "Bacterial small subunit ribosomal RNA", at positions 97 to 584 of the family's 1533-position model. Lineage: Bacteria; Bacillati; Actinomycetota; Actinomycetes; Micrococcales; Micrococcaceae. The record is from RNAcentral.
GGCGAACGGGUGAGUAACACGUGAGUAACCUGCCCUUGACUCUGGGAUAAGCCUGGGAAACUGGGUCUAAUACCGGAUAUGACUUCUCAUCGCAUGGUGGGGGGUGGAAAGCUUUUGUGGUUUUGGAUGGACUCGCGGCCUAUCAGCUUGUUGGUGGGGUAAUGGCCUACCAAGGCGACGACGGGUAGCCGGCCUGAGAGGGUGACCGGCCACACUGGGACUGAGACACGGCCCAGACUCCUACGGGAGGCAGCAGUGGGGAAUAUUGCACAAUGGGCGCAAGCCUGAUGCAGCGACGCCGCGUGAGGGAUGACGGCCUUCGGGUUGUAAACCUCUUUCAGUAGGGAAGAAGCCCUCUUUUGGGGGUGACGGUACUUGCAGAAGAAGCGCCGGCUAACUACGUGCCAGCAGCCGCGGUAAUACGUAGGGCGCAAGCGUUAUCCGGAAUUAUUGGGCGUAAAGAGCUCGUAGGCGGUUUGUC